GAUGCGACCUCAGCUCAGGCG
Molecule: ribosomal RNA, 21 nt
Filed under: Loesenera gabonensis
Lineage: Eukaryota; Viridiplantae; Streptophyta; Magnoliopsida; Fabales; Fabaceae
Description: partial 26S ribosomal RNA
Source: RNAcentral